This 253-nucleotide ribosomal RNA is filed under the name uncultured bacterium. Its description in RNAcentral is "partial 16S ribosomal RNA". It matches the Rfam family "Bacterial small subunit ribosomal RNA", at positions 524 to 776 of the family's 1533-position model. The record is from RNAcentral.
UACGGGGGGGGCAAGCGUUGUUCGGAAUUACUGGGCGUAAAGGGCGCGUAGGCGGCCUUCUAAGUCGAACGUGAAAUCCCCGGGCUCAACCCGGGAACUGCGUCCGAUACUGGAAGGCUUGAAUCCGGGAGAGGGAUGCGGAAUUCCAGGUGUAGCGGUGAAAUGCGUAGAUAUCUGGAGGAACACCGGUGGCGAAGGCGGCAUCCUGGACCGAGAUUGACGCUGAGGCGCGAAAGCCAGGGGAGCAAACGGG